RNAcentral lists this ribosomal RNA (449 nucleotides) under uncultured bacterium. RNAcentral describes it as "partial 16S ribosomal RNA". It matches the Rfam family "Bacterial small subunit ribosomal RNA", at positions 29 to 523 of the family's 1533-position model. The record is from RNAcentral.
AACGAACGCUGGCGGCAUGCCUAACACAUGCAAGUCGAACGAGAUCUUCGGGUCUAGUGGCGCACGGGUGCGUAACGCGUGGGAAUCUGCCCUUUGGUUCGGAAUAACAGUUGGAAACGACUGCUAAUACCGGAUGAUGACGAAAGUCCAAAGAUUUAUAGCCAGAGGAUGAGCCCGCGUAGGAUUAGCUAGUUGGUGUGGUAAAGGCGCACCAAGGCGACGAUCCUUAGCUGGUCUGAGAGGAUGAUCAGCCACACUGGGAGUGAGACACGGCCCAGACUCCUACGGGAGGCAGCAGUGGGGAAUAUUGGACAAUGGGCGAAAGCCUGAUCCAGCAAUGCCGCGUGAGUGAUGAAGGCCUUAGGGUUGUAAAGCUCUUUUACUCGGGAUGAUAAUGACAGUACCGGGAGAAUAAGCUCCGGCUAACUCCGUGCCAGCCGCCGCAGUAA